ACGGUGAUGGUGAAGAGUGGUGUGGAGGUGCAGCCGUGUCCGGUCAAGGUGUUGGACACCGACACCAUCACACAGGUCAAAGACAAGAUCCUAGACCAGAUCUAUAAAGGAGCUCCCUUCUCACAGAGACCUGCUGCAGACUCACUAGACCUGGAAUGGCGAUCGGGACAGGCGGGUCACCUUGACACUGUCAGACGAUGACGUCACAGCGAUCGUCCAGGGGCGCUGGAAGAAACUCAACACUCUGCAGCACUACAAGGUGCCAGACGGAGCUACAGUGGCUCUGAUCCCCAGAUCAGCUGCUUGCAUGGGGAACACCAGGUCUACCAGACUGGAGAGAGUAAAUACUGUCAUACUAUAGAGC
Molecule: long non-coding RNA, 364 nt
Organism: Salvelinus sp. IW2-2015
Lineage: Eukaryota; Metazoa; Chordata; Actinopteri; Salmoniformes; Salmonidae
Source: RefSeq, a predicted model, not a curated record